This 536-nucleotide long non-coding RNA is filed under the name Brassica rapa (field mustard). RNAcentral's name for it is "long non-coding RNA (BRAP_LNC002974)". Lineage: Eukaryota; Viridiplantae; Streptophyta; Magnoliopsida; Brassicales; Brassicaceae. The record is from RNAcentral.
GCUAAAGAUCGAAUCGACACGAAUACUUCCAAAUACCCAUAUAUUCGAUAUGUGUCCACCCCUAUUUACAAAUACGAUUUUAUUUUCUUUAUAUGAGAAAUGACUAAUGUCAAGGCCUUUUUAUUUUAAAUUAAUUUUAAUUUUAUAUUUCAUGUAUUAUUUUGAACAUACACAUACAUGUGCACUUUAAUGUGAGCACUUUGUAACUAAGUAUUCAUCACAACUGAAGUAUCUAAUUAUUUUGAAAUUUGAAAUAUUUUUUCUUAAUGCUUCUUUCACUACCGACCAAAUUGUAGUGAAAUGAUCUGUUUUAAUAAUUUUUUUUCUUUUUUUCUUAAACUAUUAUCUGUUUAGAAACUAUAAUAUGAAACUAUUGAUUCGACAUGACGACUAUCUAAAAUUCAUAACAUGAAAAUAAACAAAUAAUAUUAAUUUUUGGUUUUUACCGGAAAAAACAAAAAAAUCAAACAUUUUAACCGAAUAAACUAAAAUGAAUAUUAAUUUAAAAUAAUAGUUAUAUUUUAGAAGAUUAAAAA